AGCAGCGGCAAUAAUUUAAAACUGCAUGGGAGACGGGAAUGCGGCUGACAUUCAAAGGCAGCAGCUACGCUUUAGAAGCAGGUGAAACAAGUAGAUUUGAAAGAAGCGGACAUAAAGCAUAAAAGCGAAUCCUUGAUGUUCACGGACCUGAUAUCUGAGAGGGGUGAAGCAAGGGGGGGGGAAAGGAACUAAUGCCAGUCAUAAUUGAUUUGCAGGAUGGGGUAUGUCAAGGGUAGGGAAUGUCAUGCAGGAGCUGAAAUGAGGCAAGUGAAAUGAGCAAAGCCCUCUUCGCCUACUCUUGACAGCGGAGCGAAGAUGGAUGGCAUAUUCCGCUAUCAGGACAGCUGAAAGAAUUGCUUGUGAACACAUCUUGGGGUCCCCAUAUUGAUUGGCCUUGCUUCCACAGCCCAUGCUAAUUAAACAUUACUUUAACAGGAUGAGACUGACUCUGAUCAGAGCUGGAGGGGGAUGGACAGCAAAUGCUGUGCUGUGUACAUCUCUCUGUCCAGAAGAGGACUCGAGCUUUUGGUGUUUUUCCCUUUGAUACAGCUUUGCAAUCUUUCAAAUCGCAGGCCGGUUUGUUCAAUACCAAAUAUAUUAUAAGCCUGAGGAGCCAAGGUGAAUUUUUGGAGACCAUAUAAUUAACAUUACAGUGGUACCUCGGGUGACAUACGCUUCAGGUUACAUAUGCUUCAGGUUACAGACUCCGCUAACCCAGAAAUAGUGCUUCAGGUUAAGAACUUUGCUUCAGGAUGAGAACAGAAAUCGUGCUCUGGCGGCAUGGCGGCAGCGGGAGGCCCCAUUAGCUAAAGUGGUGCUUCAGGUUAAGAAAAGUUUCAGGUUAAGAAAGGACCUCCAGAAUGAAUUAAGUACUUAACCUGAGGUACCACUGUACUUGCAUAUAAUGUUGAUGAGCAUGAAGAAGAAGAAGAAGAGUUUGGAAUUGAUAUCCCACCUUUCACUCCCUUUAAGGAGUCUCAAAGCGGCUAACAUUCUCCUUCCCCUUCCUCCCCCACAACAAACACUCUGUUUUGAUAAUAUCUCUUGGAGUUUUAUGAAGAAGAACCUACAGGGGAUGGGGGUAGGCCAAGGUUUUGAAAAUGGUAUAAGUGCAAUUUAUUCAGAACAAAAGGCUAAACUAAUUGUAAAUAAUGUGGUGACGGAAGAAUUUAAGAUAGAAAAAGGGACAAGACAAAGCUGCCCAAUUUCCCCAUUGCUUUUCAUAUCGGUCCUGGAGGUUCUGCUGAACAUGAUUAGAAGGGACCGGUUGGUUAAAGGUAUACAGGUCAGAGCCAAACAGUACAAACUGAGAGCAUUUGCAGAUGACUUAGUGUUGACGUUACAGGAGCCAGAAUCUAGUACCAAAAGAAUUUUAGAACUGAUUCAAGAAUUUGGUCAAGUUGCAGGAUUUAAGUUGAAUAAGUUAAAGACCAAGGUCUUAGAGAAAAAUUUAACACCAAUGGAGAGAGAGAGGUUUCAGAAUGAGACAGGUUUAACAGUGGUUAAGAAAGUUAAAUAUUUGGGGAUUAACAUGACAGCAAAAAAAUGGGAAUUUAUUUAAAGACAACUAUGAAAAAUGCUGGGCUGAAGUGAAAAAAGAUUUGGAAAUUUGGUCAAAUUUGAAGCUUUCACUGCUGGGCCGUAUUGCUGCGAUAAAAAUGAAUAUAUUGCCUAGAAUGUUGUUUUUGUUUCAAACACUGCAAAUUGUGGACAAAAUGGACUGUUUCAAGAGGUGGCAGAGAGAUAUUUCUAAAUUUGUCUGGCAGGGCAAGAAGCCUAGAAUAAAAUUUAAAAUAUUAACAGAUGCAAAGGAAAGAGGUGGAUUUGCCCUGCCAGACUUUAAACUUUACUAUGAAUCAGCAGCUUUCUGCUGGUUGAAAGAAUGGUUGCUUCUUGAAAACACUGACAUUUUGGAUUUAGAAGGUUUUAACAAUGUAUUUGGAUGGCAUGCAUAUCUGUGGUAUGAUAAGGUCAAAGCACACAAAGCAUUUAAAAAUCACAUCGUCAGGAAAGCAUUGUUUAAUGUCUGGAUAAGAUACAAGGACUUAUUGGAAAAUAAAACCCCAAGGUGGUUGUCACCAAUGGAAGCAAAAGCUUUGAAAAAGCUCAAUAUGGAGGCCAAAUGGCCGAAAUAUUGGGAAAUUUUGGAACAAGACGGAGAUAGACUGAAAUUGCAGAGUUUUGAGAAAUUAAAAAACAAAGUGCGAGACUGGCUUCAUUAUUAUCAGAUAAUGGAGGCAUAUAAUUUGGACAAGAAAAUUGGCUUCCAGGUGGAAAAAUCAAAAUUAGAAACAGAACUGUUAGAACCCAAAACUAAGAUUUUGUCAAAGAUGUAUAACUUGCUGUUGAAAUGGAAUACUCAGGAUGAAACGGUGAAAUCUGCUAUGAUUAAAUGGGCACAAGAUGUUGGACAUAACAUAAUGAUGGCUGACUGGGAACAGUUAUGGACCACAGGUAUGAAGUUUACGGCAUGUAAUGCCUUAAGAGAGAAUAUUAUGAAAAUGAUAUACAGGUGGUACAUGACCCCAGUCAAGCUUGCAAAAAUCUAUCAUUUGCCCGAUAAUAAAUGUUGGAAAUGUAAAGAAACUGAAGGUACAUUCUUUCACCUUUGGUGGACAUGCCCAAGGAUUAAGGCUUUCUGGGAAAUGAUAUAUAAUGAAUUGAAAAAGAUAUUUAAAUAUACCUUAUUGAAGAAACCAGAGGCCUUUCUCCUAGGCAUAGUUGGCCAAUUGGUGCCAAAGAAGGAUAGAACCUUUUUUAUGUAUGCCACAACAGCAGCAAGAAUACUCAUUGCAAAGUACUGGAAGACACAAGAUUUACCCACUCUGGAAGAAUGGCAGAUGAAGCUGAUGGACUAUAUGGAACUGGCAGAAAUGACUGGCAGAAUCCGAGACCAGGGAGAAGAGUCGGUGGAAGAAGAUUGGAAGAAGUUCAAAGAUUAUCUACAGAAAUACUGUAAAAUUAAUGAAUGUUAGAACGAUGUUGGAUAGAAAUUAAGUGGUUUCUAACUGUAAUGCUUCAAGGGAAUAUGAAAAAGGGGUUAUUAAGAGGUAAAAAUCUAACGUUAUUAUUUUAAGACCAAAGAUUAGGAUAAACAAAGAGGGUAAGGAUUUGCUGAACCAACAAACUGAACUGGAAUACAAAAAAGGGAGGUAUGAGGAGGUCCGGGAAACAAGCUAAAGAAAAAUAAGCAAUGGAAAAUCUGAGUGUUUUUAAUCAUUUUUAUUUUGUAUUUUUUUUCUUUUUCAUUUUUUAUUGUAAUAUUUAAAAAAAUCCUAAUAAAUAUCUUAUAAAAAAACAACAACAAACACUCUGUGAGGUGAGUGGGGCUGAGAGACUUCAAAGAAGUGUGACUGGCCCAAGGUCACCCAGCAGCUGCAUGUGGAGGAGCGGAGAAUCGAACCCGGUUCCCCAGAUUACGAGUCUACCGCUCUUAACCACUACACCACACUGGCUCUCAUGGAGGAUGACCACUUAGAGUUGUUGAGUAUGUUGUACGUAUUCAUUCUAGCAGUCUGAAUUUGUGAAUCUCGUUGUGUGAGAGUUUUCUCUUGAAAAUUCUUGAUAUAUGGACAGAAAUAGUGAGGGCUGAAUUAGUGCUAUUUCAGUUCCUUCAGAGUGUUGCCGUUUUCAGGUUUUUGAUGAUAAACGUCAGGAUCUUUGUGGUGGGAGAUUCCCAGGAUCUGAAUACAGUCCCCAGGUCAACUAUGAGAUGAAAGUGAAGAAAAAGACUUUGGGAACAAAAAGAGCUGACAGCAAUGUUGCUAUGAUCCCAACCCUAGACAAGGUCUAUUCCUCUAUUGUUCUUUUCCUCCUGAAUUCCAAUUUAACUGAGGGAAUGUUUUUUGUUUUUUGUUUUACUAUUAUUAUUUUAAUUAAUUUUGUUUUAAAAAGCAGCAAGCAAAUUAAACAGAGCUAUCUUAGAGAAAAGAACAGGGUUACAAAAAUAGACUUCUACCAAACCACAGGGCAUAUUCUGAUAAACAGUAAAAGCAUCUCCAUUUGCCUGCUGCAUUGCUUGCUUGUUGAAAAUCCUCUCUUUUUAUGAAUUUCUUCAUAAGCUGAUCCCAGCUUAUUCCAGCCUCCCUCAACUUGGUGCCCUCCAGGUCUUGCUAGGGUUGAUAGGAGUAGUGGGCACCAUUUGGAGAAGGAUGCUUCAUCCAUUUUUCUAUUAGAAAAAUUAAUUGAUUAAAAAAAUCAAUUCAUGAACCAAUAGAUGCCCAGCAUUUUCCUCCCAAUACCUUGCCCAGACACUAUUCCAGAUAUCAAGACAUUCAUGACCAAGGGUUCCAAAGUGCUUGGUAAAUCUUUCCCAGAUACACCUAGCAGCAUUCUUGGUUACAAAAUACUGAAGUCUGGAAUCCCAGCCCCAUAUGUCUGCUUCUAACAGUACAUUUUCUUUAUAUGCAAGUAGAAUCAGGAAGUAUGGGGACCUAAAAUGCAGAUAUAGGAUUCAAAUGGAAGCUUCCUCCAUUUUAUUUGCAAACCGAUCACUCAGCGUUCAACCAGGCAACCAACUUCUUCAAAGAGAAGAGACAGAAAGGAACAGGAAACUGCCUUGAUAGUGUAUUUCCAAUUAGCAAAGCUGAGUGGAAAAGUCAGGGGAACCUUAAAUCAAAAAGUAUACAGAGAAUGGAAAAUAUUUAAGAAAUAUAUAAGACUAUAUUGUAAAAAUGAGACCAUCCUAUCAUAAUUGAAUGAUAUUUAUGUAUAAUAAAUAAAUAGAAUAAACAUCUUAGCGGUAUAUAUGAAAAAAGAAAUAAGCUGCGUGAUAAAAUCAAGACAAUAGAAAAGGCAUAAUGAGAAGGAUUGGAAGCUUUUCACAGAAGACUUUAUUGGAUAAGAUAUGAUGUUGUAUAAAUAUCUGGUAUUUUAAAUUGUUAUUUUUUUCUUCUUGUUACUUUUAAACUUUUUGUAUUUUUGGAUGUGCAGAAUUUUUCUCUUUUCUUUUUUCUUCUUUUCUUUUCUGUGCUUAACUUUGUAGUAUUUACCUUUAUUGUAAGAUUGUAUUUUAAACCAAUAAAGAUGUAUUUUUUUAAAAAAAGGAAACUGCCCUUGCUUCCUCUCUCUCCAAAGACCUAGUUGACCUUUGACCUAGUUGAGCCUUCUCUAGAAAAUAACAGCUCUGUGGUCCUUAACUCCUUCAUUUACCAACUCUCAUAGACCUGCAUUGUUCGGUUUGACUGCAAAAUCUCCCACGUUGAUAGUGUUUCAAAUACAGUGCAUUCAAACAUAGCAUUUUAUGCAUAUUAUAUCUUUAGCAGACCCACCCAAAACCUUUGAGCAUCUGUGAAUCCUGUUGUUGUUGUUUAGUCGUUUAGUCGUGUCCGACUCUUCGUGACCCCAUGGACCAGAGCACACCAGGCACUCCUGUCUUCCACUGCCUCCCGCAGUUUGGUCAAACUCAUGCUGGUAGCUUCGAGAACACUGUCCAACCAUCUCGUCCUCUGUCGUCCCCUUCUCCUUGUGCCCUCCAUCUUUCCCAACAUCAGGGUCUUUUCCAGGGAGUUUCUCUUCUUAUGAGGUGGUCAAAGUAUUGGAGCCUCAGCUUCAGGAUCUGUCCUUCCAGUGAGCACUCAGGGCUGAUUUCCUUCAGAAUGGAUAGGUUUGAUCUUCUUGCAGUCCAUGGAACUCUCAAGAGUCUCCUCCAGCAACAUAAUUCAAAAGCAUCAAUUAUUCAGCGAUCAGCCUUCUUUAUGGUCCAGCUCUCACUUCCAUACAUCACUACUGGGAAAACCAUAGCUUUGACAAAGACAAAGACAUCAGGUGAAUCCUGUUAGUCUCAUACAAAGCCCUCUUACAUGGAUAGGAAUCGCGGGAGCCUUGGAUUUCUUCAAAAGGAGAUUUGAAAAAUUCACACUUGUGAAUAAGUCUAUCAAUGGUUAUUAGCCCUGGCAGAUGGAUGUAACUGGGUUCACAGGCAUCAUUCCUUGAGAGAUGGGGAAGAAAACUCCAGGUGCUUAGAGAUGUUGUGACAACAUCCCUCAGUAAAGAUGGGAGUGAUGUGAUGUGACAGGGUUUUGAGAUGGUUUCAAAACUUCUGACUCUUCCUGUCAGAACACUUAAGAGGUCUGUUAUUAUCUCUCUGCGGUGAUGUUUCUUAAUAACCAGCAGCAAGGCAUUGCAAUUAUGUGGAAGAAGAGCCUGUGACCACAUGGAUGAGGCAUUUUGGGAACAAACCGAGAACAUUUAUUUAUACUUGAUGAGGUUCAUAGCUUAACAGGUACUCCAAUAAGGCAGAACACUUUGUUUUGUUUUAAAAAAAUAAUUUUUUAUUAAAGAUUUCUUAGUUUACAAAAAUACGUGCAUUGUCUCUUCUUUCAAGUUGUGUUUCCUACAGAUCAGUUUCAUUUGUUGUGAGACAUUAGUUUUGCAUACAGUGUGUUAGGUUAGGAAGAAAAGAGGAAGGGGAAAUGGUGAGUGGUACCUCAGGUUAAGUACUUAAUUCGUUCUUGAGGUCUGUUCUUAACCUGAAACUGUUCUUAACCUGAGCACCACUUUAGCUAAUGGGGCCUCCUGCUGCCGCUGCGCCGCCGCCACACAAUUUCUGUUCUCAUCCUAAAGCAAAGUUCUUAACCCGAGGUAAAAUUUCUGGGUUAGCGGAGUCUGUAACCUGAAGCGUAUGUAACCUGAAGCAUAUGUAACCUGAGGUACCACUGUAUUCUACUUAUUGUAUGUGUGGGGUUUUGUGUCAGUGUUACUUGUGUGGGUUCUCUUACUAUUCGCUUGUUGUAUUUCCUUGGUUGUGAGAGAGGCUGGGGUGGGCCUAGGGUGUGGCUGCUUGUCUUUGGUUGGUUGUAGUGAGAUUUGUUUUUGUGUGUGAGUGGGGUGUGUGUGUUUGUUUCAGUCAGGUUAGCCAGAUUGAUUCGUAUGCUGUUGGUGGAUUAUUCUUGUUGUCGUGUUGGGCUGUGUACAGUGUACCUUGGGUUACAGACUCUUCAGGUUACAGAUGCUUCGGGUUACAAACUCCGCUAACCAGGAAGUAGUUGUUCCAGGUUGAGAACUUUGCUCCAGGAUGAGAAUGGAAAUCAUGCGCUGGUGUCGCGGCAGCAGUGGGAGGCCCCGUUAGCAAAAGCACGCCUCAGGUUAAGAAUGGUUUCAGGUUAAGAAGGGACCUCCGGAACGAAUUAAAUUCUUAACCCGAGGUACCACUGUAUGUGAUAAAGGGGAACUAUACUGGGGUGAAGGCGUCUUCUUCUAUUUGUCCCCAUGUCAGUUUCAGUUUAUUAGUUAGUUUUUCUAAUAGGGCUGUUUCUCAUACUAUUUGAUACCAUUGGUCCAUGCCAGGCUUCCUCAACCUCGGCCCUCCAGAUGUUUUUGGCCUACAACUCCCAUGAUCCCUAGCUACCAGGACCAGUGGUCAGGGAUGAUGGGAACUGUAAUCUCAAAACAUCUGGAGGGCUGAGGUUGAGGAAGCCUGGUCCAUGCUUACUCCUGACAGGUCUCUCCAAUGUCUGGCUGUGAUUCUUUUAGAUAAUAAUCCCCACUCACAUCAAAAAGAGCUCAUAACCCACCUACUCAUGGCAGAACACUUUGUUAUGAACACACACUCUUCACAAAAAUAAGCCAAAAACUUUAUUGAAAUUCUCAUUUUAAACCUGUCUUUAAAUAGACUGAUUCCUUCUAGAAUGGCUAUUGGUCCUACACUUUCAGCGCCUUCUAGAAUUUUUACUUUCCCCUAAGAAAAACAAUCUGGGUUACCCUGCCUAGCUAGACCAUAAUUCAGCUCUAACCAGGCUCUAAAUGGAUCUCUAACUAGGCACUGUCCAUGCCCUAACUAACACUGACAGACAAGCCCUAUCUGACAGUUAGACUGUCUAAUUCUAACAUUCAACUCUCCACUCUCUCUCCUGAUUGGAAGACACUCCGCCCAGCUCUGAUUGGUUUCUGGGUCACCUGGAGGCUAACCCAUGAUUUGUCCAUCACAGAUGCACUUUAUUGUAGGCCCAAUGCAUUUUUCGAAAAAACCUUCUUUUCAAGGGAAUGUGUUUAGAAACAACCCGCACUUUCAAGGUAUAAUGCAGUAAUUCUUGUUCAUCUGGGGGUCAAAUCAAAUGAGAUGUUAAAUGCAUUUUAAAAAAAAAAACUUUUUAAAAACCCAUAAAUUGCAGCCACUAUUGGGAGGAAAACUCAUAUUAUUCCUAGUUCAAUUAGGAACUACAGAGGAGCAAUUUUCAUCUGGGGGAGGAAAAGGUUAAACCCUCCCUCCCUGUCUGCUGUGAUCUCCCUCUAGACACAAAGUGGCUGCUGUUUGCACUUCUAAAAAACACAUGCACAAGGAUCACAGGGGAUAAUUCACUCAACACAUUUCUUUCAGAUCACUGUAAUUGCCCUUGUUCAUCAGUUUUAUAUUACAUUUACACCCCAUCUUUUCUGCAAGGAGCCCAGUUCGUUUCUGAGCACAAUUCAAAGUGUUGGUGCUGACCUUUAAAGCCCUAAGCUGCCUCGGUCCAGUAUACCUGAAGGAGCUUCUCCACCCCCAUCGUUCAGCCCGGACACUGAGAUCCAGUGCCAAGGGUCUUCUGGCAGUUCCCUCGCUGCAAGAAGUGAGGUUACAGGGAACCAGGCAGAGGGCCUUCUUGGUAGUGGCUCCUGCCCUGUGGAAUGCCCUCCCAGCAGUUGUCAAGGCAAUAAACAACUAUUAUACUUUUAAAAGACAACUGAAGGCGGCCCUGUUUAGGGAAGCUUUUAAUGUCUGUUGCUGUAUUGUUUUUAAUAUUCGGUUGGAAGCCACCCAGAGUGGCUGGGGAAACCCAGCCAGAUGGGCAGGGUAUAAAUAAUAAAUGAUUAAAUAUUCUUAUUAUGGUGGCAUACACACUUCUCCUCUCUAUUUUAUCCUCACAGGAAUCCUGAAGGUUUGGCUGAGAAAUAGUGACUGGCCCAAGGUAACCUGGUAGGCUUCAAGACUGUCGGACUUGCUUUCGACCAAGCUACUUCUCCGGUCGAGUCCUCCGACGGUGAUUAACGACCUGAGCCUUUGAUGAGGCUCCAGGCACGUUCCCUCAUUACACAGAGUAUACAGCAGCAGCUGAAGACGAAAAACGUAUGAGCUACAUUGCUACAUUUUAUUUCUAACUAUGCAGGACAGAAAAGAAAAUACAUCUGCUCUCUGUGAAAGCAGAGAACCAACUGGAACAAAGAAAACAGGAAACCAGUAAUAUCAACAUCCAUCUCCCAUGAGACUUCCAACAGUCUGGAAUGUAAACAGAGUCUUGUGACUCCAAGCACUGCACAGUGGCAAUAAACAGAAACCUAACAAAGACCAACCCUGGUCUCCCGAUUCCUAGCCCAGUACAGUGGUACCUCGGGUUAUGAACUUAAUUCGUUCCGGAAGUCUGUUCUUAACCCGAAGCAUUCUUAAACCGAGGCAUGCAUUCCUUACAUAGGCCUCCCGCGGCCCUGGAAGCGGAUUGUGUUCGUAUCCUGGGGCAAAGUUCGCAACCCAGGACACCUACUUCCAGGUUUGUGGAGUUCAUAAACCGAAGCGUUCGUAAGCAGGACUGUUCGCAACCCGAGGUACCACUGUACUCUAACAGCUUUAGCACACUGGAGAAUCCCAUUCUUGGCUCACUGCACUCCCUGGGCUUACCAACUUUGCUAUUGCCUAUAUGCCAUAAACUUUGAAAAGAGUUUCUGGAUUUUCUCACAUGCUGUAAUUUGUUCCCCC
Molecule: long non-coding RNA, 9667 nt
Filed under: Podarcis lilfordi (Lilford's wall lizard)
Lineage: Eukaryota; Metazoa; Chordata; Lepidosauria; Squamata; Lacertidae
Source: RNAcentral